UACAGAGGGUGCAAGCGUUAAUCGGAAUUACUGGGCGUAAAGCGCACGUAGGCGGUUUUUUAAGUCAGAUGUGAAAGCCCCGGGCUCAACCUGGGAAUUGCAUUUGAAACUGGGAAACUAGAGUGUGUGAGAGGGGGGUAGAAUUCCAAGUGUAGCGGUGAAAUGCGUAGAGAUUUGGAGGAACACCAGUGGCGAAGGCGGCCCCCUGGCACAACACUGACGCUCAGGUGCGAAAGCGUGGGGAGCAAACAGG
RNAcentral lists this ribosomal RNA (253 nucleotides) under uncultured bacterium. RNAcentral describes it as "partial 16S ribosomal RNA". It matches the Rfam family "Bacterial small subunit ribosomal RNA", at positions 524 to 776 of the family's 1533-position model. The record is from RNAcentral.